AGAAUUGGCCUCUUCCAGCCACAGCAGUAAUCCUGUUACGUUCUCUCUGUGAGUCUGGGAAACAUACAGACACUGGUUGAAACUUCAGCUUUGUCAUUUACCAGCUGUGCUAUCACAGGCUGGUCUGAAACUCCUGGGCUCAAGCAGUUCUCCCACAUUGGCUUCCCAAAGUGCUGGGAUUACAGGUCUGAACCACCGAACCGGGCCACAGAGUGGCAAUGUGGUUGGCAUGACCCAGUCACAGCACCCCGGGACUCUUGUCCAGCAUUGGCGCUCUAUAUGCAGAGCCCUUUCACUCAGCCUGGCAGCAUCUGAUCAGCGUCGAAGCCCAGUGGCUUGAGGAAUAAAUAUAAACAGUGCAGAGACUAAAAGCAGAGCUCUGGUCCAGCACAUCUACUCCCAAGCUCUGCCACCCUGGACAAGCUCCUUCCCCUCUCUGAGCCUCAGUCUCCUCCCUGUAAUACUGUAAGAACCCUGUCCACAGUUGUGUGCCGAUAUACUGAAUGUAAAGCACCUAAAAGCCUGCCAGGACGUGGCAGGCACUCAAGAAGCAUUACUAGAUUCAUUUCACACAUGGAGAAACUGAGUCCCAGAGUGGGAAAGUGACUCAGGCAAAGAUUCCCUCACAGAACUGGGGAUAAAAAUCCAGAUCUUCAAGCUCCCAGUCAGUGCCUAAUUACUACUUUCUCAUUCUUGGAAUUUGUAAUUAUUUCAUGACAAGUGUGCUUUUGGCUGCUGGAGGGACAGAGCUUCAGAGGUUGUGAGCCUCCCCUGGCUCAGCCUGACCCAGAACCAGCUCACUCAUGAAACUACCCUCUCUUGAAGAGAAUAGGAGUUGUGGGGAGGAAGAACAUAACCCAGAGGCCAGAGAACGUGGAGGCCAGGGUUGGUGUAACUGUGUAGGCUCUUCCACAUACUAGCUGUGUGAACUUGGACAAGUGACUUAACUUCUCUUCUCCGUGUCUGCUAACAGUCCCUACACAGAUGGUUGUUGUGAGGCUUAGUUACCAUACAAAAUUCUUAGAUUAGUGCCUGGCACAUAAUAAUAACCACAGCCCCCAAAUGCUAGUUGUCAUUCAUUAUCUUAACAUACCAUGUGAAGGUUGUGUUCUCUUACAUUCUAUAGCCCUCUGUGUUUUAAUAUAAAAUUGUGAUGUCUCUCUUUCUUUUAUUUGUAUUUUUUGAGUAAAACGGACAUUUCAGAAAGAUGUACCAGAUUUUUAUCACAUGGCUUUGUGAGACCCGACAGCCAGCCAACAUCACACACAGUCACAUGUGUGCAUGCAUGAGCACACAUGCAUGCAGACACACACACUUUGAGAAGGCCAUGCUACGCCGGGCUGCUUCCCAAAUGGGCUGAAACAAGUCCUCUUGCCCUGAAGAACCGCCUGUCCCCUCUCCCGCCCACUCAUCGCGCUCCGUGGAGUGAGGCAGGAAAGGGUGAUUGGCUCACAGCAGCAGCAUAGCUCUUAGUAAACCUGACUUGGGAGAAAGGCCUGGCUCCAGCUCCUAGCCCAAGUGUCAGAGCCUGGGUCCCAGCACUGGCUCGAUGCCCUCUUUUGCUGUGCAACCCUGGCCAUGUAACUUCACCUCUCUGAGCCCCAGCUUUGUCAUUUGUGAAAGGGAGCUAACUGUUCCUACCUCUCAGGGUUAUGAGGAUUUGACAGACACAUGGAAAGUGCCUGGCACUUCGUUGUUGCUCCAUAAAUGAGAGCUCUCAAAAGUCUGGCUCAUUUUUUAGCUCAGUAAAAGCUAUCUUUCAUAGUCUUUAAUAAAAUGGGGCUGGCCGGGCGUGGUGGCUCACGCCUGUAAUCCCAGCACUUUGGGAGG
RNAcentral lists this long non-coding RNA (1830 nucleotides) under Homo sapiens (human). Its description in RNAcentral is "HSALNT0290768". Lineage: Eukaryota; Metazoa; Chordata; Mammalia; Primates; Hominidae. The record is from RNAcentral.